RNAcentral lists this transfer RNA (72 nucleotides) under Pocillopora damicornis (cauliflower coral). RNAcentral's name for it is "tRNA-Cys". It matches the Rfam family "tRNA". From Rfam's summary of the family: Transfer RNA (tRNA) molecules are approximately 80 nucleotides in length. Their secondary structure includes four short double-helical elements and three loops (D, anti-codon, and T loops). The record is from Rfam by way of RNAcentral. Lineage: Eukaryota; Metazoa; Cnidaria; Anthozoa; Scleractinia; Pocilloporidae.
GUCUUAGUGGCUCAGUGGUAGAGCAUCGGAACGCAAAUCCGAAGAUCUGAGGUUCGAUUCCUCACGGGGACU